AUGCAAAGUAUCUCGGCUGAAACUACGAAUAACCUCCAAAAUGAUGUCGUGAGGAAAAUCCACCAUUACAUCAUGGAUCCGUUCAGGGUAUCAAGGAUAGGAGCUGUUACAAUACAGCGCAUCAUUCCUGAAGCGUCCAAACAGAGUAGCAGUCACACUCCUGUGUUCUCGAAUUUUAGCACUCAGAAUGAUUCGGAGAUCGAAAAUGAGCAAGGCAUCAAAACAGGAACGGCAGCUGAUCGAACUGCAGCUGACAUGGAAGUUGACGAAGAUAAGCCAGUUCCCAACACUUUCUUCCCUGAAGAAAGUGAUACGAUGGGACCAGGCUUCGGAAGAAUGGAUCCAGAGCAGUCCUUCCAAGGCGAGGCUAGAAUGGUGGAAGGCUCGUUCAAAAUUGAAAAUCAUCCUGAAACGCUACAAAACCAGUCUCCAAAAUUUAGGCCAGGUGAUGAAAGUGGGAGCGUUUCAGAACCAAAGCCUGAAAGCGACAGAACUAUGGUAGGAAAUGAAAAUGAGUCCAAUGACCGGUUGGAAGUCUCAAUGGAUUCUCGAACUUCAGGAGGCGGGGAAGAAGCCAGUAAUUCUUCUAAUAAGGCUGAUAGUAAGAUAACUCAAAAUAAUUUUUCCGAAGACAUCAAUAAAAAAUUAGGUAGAUUUGGUUUUAGUGUAAGCGUAAGUGAAGUAAAAAUUCCAUCCUCAGAUCAGACCUCAAUCGAUGAAGCUCUAGACGAUGAAGCUCUAGACGAUGAGGCACCAGACGAUGAAGGAUGUGAAGAUCCUAAUGUAGAGGAGCCGAAAGACGAAGACGGUCUUGAAUCCAUCGAAAACUUGGUUUCAUCUCUUAGCGAGCAGUCGGAUCAGUUUAAGGAGCUGAAGUCGAACGUAGAGUUUUUGGAUGCGUCUGACUUCAAGAAGGAAAUAUUUAGUGAGGAUCUAAACAGUGAAACCGCAAAAAGUGAUGUCAGAAAAGAGCCCAACCAGAUGGACGAUGAGCAAAAAAUGGAUGUAGCUAAUGACGACGUGAAAGUAAAGAAAGAAGACGAUGAUAAAGAGGGAGAUGAGGCAUCAGAAGAAGACGAUGAAACUGAAGGAGAUGGUGAUGGCGGAGAUGAAAAAGAUCUUGAUGAUAAAGAUUCUGACAAGCCUAAAAAGAAGCAUUCCAAGAAAAAGAAAACCAAAAAAUCACCCAGUAAAGGUAAGUUUAAUCCCUCUGUCUCAAUUUAUUUAGUUCAUGUUUGAUCCCUCUGUCUCAAUUUAUUUAGUUCAUGUUUGAUCAAAU
Molecule: long non-coding RNA, 1279 nt
Filed under: Bemisia tabaci
Lineage: Eukaryota; Metazoa; Arthropoda; Insecta; Hemiptera; Aleyrodidae
Description: lncRNA ENSASIAIIG001539
Source: RNAcentral